GUACCCCAGGGAGUGGCCGCACCCUCAGUACUACCAACAGGAGGCCACACUGUCCUUGCCUCCUAUCCCAACCUCACGCUGACCACUUGGCUGAGCAAAUUCUAGAACACCACCCGGAGCAGGUGGGGACAGCGGGGGAAGAGUGCAGCGUGGGGGCUGCAGGUCUGUUUCUAGUCCUACAGCCCAACACCAACUGCCAGAAUUCCGACCCUCCUGGCCUUCCUUUGUCUACUAACCUCAGGAGACCAAAGAGCCCCGGUAGCCGAAUGGGGAGCUGCAAGACACACAAUAUACGGUGGAUAUCCUUUAUACAAAGACUAUACAGAAUAAGAAAAACAAAAGAAGACUGAAAAAGAACUAAGACAUGAACCUGGUACACUGAGAGCCUCGAGUCAGAUUCAUUUUCUGAACAGAACAAAGCUGGACUUAUCUCCUGACUAAAAUAUGGGCUUCAUUCAUGCCUUAUCUUUGGAAUAAAAGGCUUUCACUUCCA
Molecule: long non-coding RNA, 493 nt
Organism: Canis lupus familiaris (dog)
Lineage: Eukaryota; Metazoa; Chordata; Mammalia; Carnivora; Canidae
Exons: 2
Source: RefSeq, a predicted model, not a curated record